RNAcentral lists this ribosomal RNA (465 nucleotides) under Vreelandella stevensii. RNAcentral's name for it is "partial 16S ribosomal RNA". It matches the Rfam family "Bacterial small subunit ribosomal RNA", at positions 338 to 795 of the family's 1533-position model. Lineage: Bacteria; Pseudomonadati; Pseudomonadota; Gammaproteobacteria; Oceanospirillales; Halomonadaceae. The record is from RNAcentral.
CCUACGGGGGGCAGCAGUGGGGAAUAUUGGACAAUGGGGGCAACCCUGAUCCAGCCAUGCCGCGUGUGUGAAGAAGGCCCUCGGGUUGUAAAGCACUUUCAGUGAGGAAGAACGCCUGGUGGUUAAUACCCAUCAGGAAAGACAUCACUCACAGAAGAAGCACCGGCUAACUCCGUGCCACCAGCCGCGGUAAUACGGAGGGUGCGAGCGUUAAUCGGAAUUACUGGGCGUAAAGCGCGCGUAGGUGGCUUGAUAAGCCGGUUGUGAAAGCCCCGGGCUCAACCUGGGAACGGCAUCCGGAACUGGCAAGCUAGAGUGCAGGAGAGGAAGGUAGAAUUCCCGGUGUAGCGGUGAAAUGCGUAGAGAUCGGGAGGAAUACCAGUGGCGAAGGCGGCCUUCUGGACUGACACUGACACUGAGGUGCGAAAGCGUGGGUAGCAAACAGGAUUAGAUACCCGAGUAGUC